Molecule: ribosomal RNA, 795 nt
Filed under: uncultured bacterium
Lineage: Bacteria
Description: bacterial SSU rRNA
Rfam family: Bacterial small subunit ribosomal RNA
Source: RNAcentral
AGAGUUUGAUCAUGGCUCAGAUUGAACGCUGGCGGCGUGCCUAACACAUGCAAGUCGAGCGGUAACAGGUGUAGCAAUACAUGCUGACGAGCGGCGAACGGGUGAGUAAUGCUUCGGAAUCUGCCCAAUGGUGGGGAAUAACCAGCCGAAAGGUUGGCUAAUACCGCAUAAGUCCUACGGGAGAAAGCAGGGGAUCGUAAGACCUUGCGCCGAUGGAUGAGCCGAAGUCGGAUUAGCUAGUUGGUAGGGUAACGGCCUACCAAGGCGACGAUCCGUAGCUGGUCUGAGAGGACGACCAGCCACACUGGGACUGAGACACGGCCCAGACUCCUACGGGAGGCAGCAGUGGGGAAUAUUGGACAAUGGGGGAAACCCUGAUCCAGCGACGCCGCAUGUGUGAAGAAGGCCUGCGGGUUGUAAAGCACUUUUAGUGGGGAUGAAAAGCUCAGGGCUAACACCUCUGGGUCUUGACCUAACCCACAGAAAAAGCACCGGCUAACUCUGUGCCAGCAGCCGCGGUAAUACAGAGGGUGCAAGCGUUAAUCGGAAUUACUGGGCGUAAAGCGUGCGUAGACGGUUAUGUAAGUCGGGUGUGAAAGCCCCGGGCUCAACCUGGGAAUGCCAUUCGAGACUGCAUAGCUAGGGUGCGGAAGAGGGAAGCGGAAUUUCCGGUGUAGCGGUGAAAUGCGUAGAUAUCGGAAGGAACACCAGUGGCGAAAGCGGCUUCCUGGUCCAGCACCGACGUUCAGGCACGAAAGCGUGGGGAGCAAACAGGAUUAGAUACCCUAGUAGUCC